UACAGAGGUCCCAAGCGUUGUUCGGAUUCACUGGGCGUAAAGGGUGCGUAGGCGGCCCUGUAAGUCAGUGGUGAAAUACUGCAGCUUAACUGUAGCAUUGCCAUUGAUACUGUAGGGCUUGAGUACAGAUGAGGUAGGCGGAAUUGAUGGUGUAGCGGUGAAAUGCAUAGAUACCAUCAAGAACACCGAUUGCGAAGGCAGCUUACUAAGCUGUAACUGACGCUGAGGCACGAAAGCGUGGGGAUCGAACAGG
Molecule: ribosomal RNA, 253 nt
Filed under: uncultured bacterium
Lineage: Bacteria
Description: partial 16S ribosomal RNA
Rfam family: Bacterial small subunit ribosomal RNA
Source: RNAcentral